GACGAACGCUGGCGGCGUGCCUAAUACAUGCAAGUAGAACGCUGAAGAGAGGAGCUUGCUCUUCUUGGAUGAGUUGCGAACGGGUGAGUAACGCGUAGGUAACCUGCCUUGUAGCGGGGGAUAACUAUUGGAAACGAUAGCUAAUACCGCAUAACAAUGGAUGACACAUGUUAUUUAUUUGAAAGGGGCAAUUGCUCCACUACAAGAUGGACCUGCGUUGUAUUAGCUAGUAGGUGAGGUAAUGGCCUAACUAGGCGACGAUACAUAGCCGAACUGAGAGGGGGAUCCGCCACACUGGGACUGAGACACGGCCCAGACUCCUACGGGAGGCAGCAGUAGGGAAUCUUCGGCAAUGGGGGCAACCCUGACCGAGCAACGCCGCGUGAGUGAAGAAGGUUUUCGGAUCGGAAAGAUCUGUUGUAAGUCAAGAACGGGUGUGAGAGUGGAAAGUUCACGCUGUGACGGUAGCUUACCAGAAAGGGACGGCUAACUACGUG
RNAcentral lists this ribosomal RNA (497 nucleotides) under uncultured bacterium. RNAcentral's name for it is "partial 16S ribosomal RNA". It matches the Rfam family "Bacterial small subunit ribosomal RNA", at positions 28 to 507 of the family's 1533-position model. The record is from RNAcentral.